UACAUGACAACUACUGGACAAAAGACCAGAUUGGUUUUAGUGCAGACCAAAAUAAGAGCGAAACAUAGAGACGGGGACAGAGCGUGCAGUUGCGAAGAGCGCGCAAAACACGCAAACGCGUCUGCGU
Molecule: non-coding RNA, 127 nt
Organism: Caenorhabditis elegans
Lineage: Eukaryota; Metazoa; Nematoda; Chromadorea; Rhabditida; Rhabditidae
Source: Ensembl